Felis catus (domestic cat) is the source of this 85-nucleotide transfer RNA. It matches the Rfam family "tRNA". Rfam says of the family: Transfer RNA (tRNA) molecules are approximately 80 nucleotides in length. The record is from Rfam. NCBI's taxonomy places the organism in Eukaryota, Metazoa, Chordata, Mammalia, Carnivora, Felidae.
ACCUGGGUGGCUCAGGCGGUUGAGCGUCUGACUUUGGCUCAGGUCAUGAUAUCACAGUUCGUGGGUUCGAGCCCCGCAUCAGGCU